This 1775-nucleotide long non-coding RNA is filed under the name Daphnia pulex (common water flea). RNAcentral's name for it is "uncharacterized LOC124202128, transcript variant X2". The record is from RNAcentral. Lineage: Eukaryota; Metazoa; Arthropoda; Branchiopoda; Diplostraca; Daphniidae.
AAUCUAUACAUAGUUUUGGUUGUCGAAUUUGUUGUAAGCCAACUGGACGAUUCCAUAGGAUCCCUAGACGAUGUAGAUAACUGUUAGUUUUAUUUUAAAUCAAGAUUAUCUGGAAUACAGCGAACUUACCUGGCCGAUAAAUUCCCUUAGCGAGUAUUGGUUGAUUUGGGUCGAAAUACAGAAGAAAAAAAUGUACCUGAUGCAAAAUUUGGUCGUUGCAGCAUCGAGAAUUUAAUCAGGCCGACAAUCACCAAGGCACAGGGAAAAACUAACAGGAUGACCAUUGGUGUUUAUGUGUUGCCGAGCCACAAGAAACUUCUCCACUGCACGCGUCUCGCAGGUUGUGACGUGCGUUGCCGGAAACGGCAGAAGGAAGUGUGGAGCAAUCGACCAAUCGUUUCUUUUCAAAAAUGAAAUGGGCUAUCAAAUUGGUGAACAGCUGACGUUUCCGCUUCCGUUUCGUGUCUUGAUUAGUGCUCCGGAAGAUAACUAGAUAAGCAACGAAGGCAAAAGAAACGCCAGCUGAGGCUAGAUACCCUGAAUACAAGCCAUCGUACUCUUCAUAUUCGGUCCCGGCCUACCAAGUCCCGUCUGCACCAGUCUACUGGGCACCACCCCGUCCUGCCUACGUCCCUCCUCGUGCUCCUACUUGUGGAUUGUUGCAGCGCUUUCCUAUCGAUAUUUACCCAAAAAAAAACUAAAUAGGAAAAUAAUACAUUAUUUUUAAUGAAAUUUACUAAGUAUUUGUAUUCAACUUAUUCAAAAUACAGGUUACCAAUGGAAUUAAAUUCAUUAAGUAUAUCUCAAACUUAAGUCAGAAUUUUUAAUUUCCAAACUCAAUUUCCAAUUAUUUUGGCGAGCCAGCAAUUGCCAAUCACCAAUAUCGUCCAGCGACACAUUUUUACAAAAAUGAAAACUGAUGCUUUCAAGAGCGUUGUGUUCGUUUUUACUUUUUAGUGUUUUCGAUUUUUAGUCAAACGUGGUGAUCGCGGAGGAAUCUGUUGGCUCGUCAGUAGGUGGCUAAAAUCAAGUUGUCCCCCAGCCGCCAGAUGACGCGAGUCUCUUUGAGUGAGGACGAAAUUUUCGCCACUUUGGUUCCGAAACGCCAAGUGAAAAGGUAUUCCAAAUUUGUUACGGAAUUGCGUUGUCGAUCUACAUUUUCAGCAUUGAAAUUUAAUGGGCAAUCUGGCAUAUCAUUUCCACUUGGCCAAAUAAACGAUCACGUGGACACUGCUUUCCAUUUUGCCGAAACGUUGUCCGUUGUUAGCUGUACCUGUUCGGAUGUACGUCUCAUCUCACACAGAAACACUACAGAGUUGGUGUUCAGGUUGGAGAUCCCGUUGCUUAACUGUUGCAGAAUGUGAGAACUCAACAAAUUCUGAGCUCCAUGGCUGACAUGAUGGCCACAGUGGUUUUGUUGCAGCCAGCUGGUGAAAGGUGUGAUCUAGUCAAGUUGAGCUGCAGCUGCUGCAUGCAGUUUAUCGAGCUUGUGUUAUCCUGAAGUGUCAUAAACUGUCAUUGCAGGAAGACUUUUUGAAAUGGAUUUGGUGAUACUUAAACUAUGCCUGUGCUGUUCAAUCUGCAGUGGUUUUGCAGCCUAUUUCCAGUUGAGAGAUCUGAUUAUGCAGCUGAUACACGAUUGAAGAAAGUAGCUGUGCUGGUGUUCUGAAAUGCUGUGCCACAGGAGUUGCAGAUAGUCACUCACAUCAGUCACUUCUGCCUAUAACUUAUAUAAAACUUUAAAGUUGUAAGAAAUAUACCAGUCAAGUGCUAAA